RNAcentral lists this ribosomal RNA (271 nucleotides) under uncultured prokaryote. Its description in RNAcentral is "partial 16S ribosomal RNA". It matches the Rfam family "Bacterial small subunit ribosomal RNA", at positions 524 to 794 of the family's 1533-position model. The record is from RNAcentral.
UACGGAGGAUCCGAGCGUUAUCCGGAUUUAUUGGGUUUAAAGGGUGCGCAGGCGGGAGAUUAAGUCGGCGGUGAAAUUUUGCAGCUCAACUGUAAAAGUGCCUUCGAAACUGGUUUACUUGAGUGUAAAUGAAGUAGGCGGAAUUUGUGGUGUAGCGGUGAAAUGCAUAGAUAUCACGAGGAACUCCGAUUGCGCAGGCAGCUUACUAAACUACUACUGACGCUCAGGCACGAAGGCGUGGGGAUCAAACAGGAUUAGAUACCCUGGUAGU